Molecule: ribosomal RNA, 484 nt
Filed under: uncultured bacterium
Lineage: Bacteria
Description: partial 16S ribosomal RNA
Rfam family: Bacterial small subunit ribosomal RNA
Source: RNAcentral
AUUGAACGCUGGCGGCAUGCUUUACACAUGCAAGUCGAACGGCAGCGCGGGCUUCGGCCUGGCGGCGAGGGGCGAACGGGUGAGGAAGACAUCGGAACGUGCCCAGGAGUGGGGGAGAGCGCGGCGAAAGCCGGAUUAAUACCGCAAACGACCUGAGGGUGAAAGCGGGGGAUCGGCGGACCUCGCGCUAGUGGAGCGGGCGAUGGCCGAUUAGCUAGUUGGUGGGGGAAAGGCCUACCAAGGCGACGAUCUGUAGCUGGUCUGAGAGGACGACCAGCCACACUGGAACUGAGACACGGCCCAGACUCCUACGGGAGGCAGCAGUGGGGAAUUUUGGACAAUGGGCGAAAGCCUGAUCCAGCGAUGCCGCGUGUGUGAUGAAGGCCUUCGGGUUGUAAAGCACUUUUGGCGGGAACGAAAAGGACUGUGCCAAUACCACGGUUCGAUGACGGUACCCGCAGAAUAAGCACCGGCUAACUACGUG